This 23-nucleotide non-coding RNA is filed under the name Arabidopsis thaliana (thale cress). Lineage: Eukaryota; Viridiplantae; Streptophyta; Magnoliopsida; Brassicales; Brassicaceae. The record is from RNAcentral.
GUGUUUACGUUGGUGAGUAAUUG